CAGUCGAACGGCAGCAUGAUCUAGCUUGCUAGAUUGAUGGCGAGUGGCGAACGGGUGAGUAAUACAUCGGAACGUGCCCUGUAGUGGGGGAUAACUAGUCGAAAGAUUAGCUAAUACCGCAUACGACCUGAGGGUGAAAGUGGGGGACCGCAAGGCCUCAUGCUAUAGGAGCGGCCGAUGUCUGAUUAGCUAGUUGGUGAGGUAAAGGCUCACCAAGGCGACGAUCAGUAGCUGGUCUGAGAGGACGAUCAGCCACACUGGGACUGAGACACGGCCCAGACUCCUACGGGAGGCAGCAGUGGGGAAUUUUGGACAAUGGGCGAAAGCCUGAUCCAGCAAUGCCGCGUGUGUGAAGAAGGCCUUCGGGUUGUAAAGCACUUUUGUCCGGAAAGAAAUGGCUCUGGUUAAUACCUGGGGUCGAUGACGGUACCGGAAGAAUAAGGACCGGCUAACUACGUGCCAGCAGCCGCGGUAAUACGUAGGGUCCAAGCGUUAAUCGGAAUUACUGGGCGUAAAGCGUGCGCAGGCGGUUGUGCAAGACCGAUGUGAAAUCCCCGAGCUUAACUUGGGAAUUGCAUUGGUGACUGCACGGCUAGAGUGUGUCAGAGGGGGGUAGAAUUCCACGUGUAGCAGUGAAAUGCGUAGAGAUGUGGAGGAAUACCGAUGGCGAAGGCAGCCCCCUGGGAUAACACUGACGCUCAUGCACGAAAGCGUGGGGAGCAAACAGGAUUAGAUACCCUGGUAGUCCACGCCCUAAACGAUGUCAACUAGUUGUUGGGGAUUCAUUUCCUUAGUAACGUAGCUAACGCGUGAAGUUGACCGCCUGGGGAGUACGGUCGCAAGAUUAAAACUCAAAGGAAUUGACGGGGACCCGCACAAGCGGUGGAUGAUGUGGAUUAAUUCGAUGCAACGCGAAAAACCUUACCUACCCUUGACAUGCCACUAACGAAGCAGAGAUGCAUUAGGUGCUCGAAAGAGAAAGUGGACACAGGUGCUGCAUGGCUGUCGUCAGCUCGUGUCGUGAGAUGUUGGGUUAAGUCCCGCAACGAGCGCAACCCUUGUCUCUAGUUGCUACGAAAGGGCACUCUAGAGAGACUGCCGGUGACAAACCGGAGGAAGGUGGGGAUGACGUCAAGUCCUCAUGGCCCUUAUGGGUAGGGCUUCACACGUCAUACAAUGGUGCAUACAGAGGGUUGCCAAGCCGCGAGGUGGAGCUAAUCCCAGAAAAUGCAUCGUAGUCACGGAUCGUAGUCUGCAACU
This 1260-nucleotide ribosomal RNA is filed under the name Ralstonia sp. U42. RNAcentral describes it as "bacterial SSU rRNA". It matches the Rfam family "Bacterial small subunit ribosomal RNA", at positions 59 to 1312 of the family's 1533-position model. The record is from RNAcentral. Lineage: Bacteria; Pseudomonadati; Pseudomonadota; Betaproteobacteria; Burkholderiales; Burkholderiaceae.